Molecule: ribosomal RNA, 468 nt
Filed under: uncultured bacterium
Lineage: Bacteria
Description: partial 16S ribosomal RNA
Rfam family: Bacterial small subunit ribosomal RNA
Source: RNAcentral
GACGAACGCUGGCGGCGCGCCUAACACAUGCAAGUCGAACGGAGUCAAGAGGAGCUUGCUUUUCUUGACUUAGUGGCGAACGGGUGAGUAACGCGUGAGUAACCUGCCCUGGAGUGGGGGACAACAGUUGGAAACGACUGCUAAUACCGCAUAAGCCCACGGAUCCGCAUGGAUCUGCGGGAAAAGGAUUUAUUCGCUUCAGGAUGGACUCGCGUCCAAUUAGCUAGUUGGUGAGGUAACGGCCCACCAAGGCGACGAUUGGUAGCCGGACUGAGAGGUUGAACGGCCACAUUGGGACUGAGACACGGCCCAGACUCCUACGGGAGGCAGCAGUGGGGGAUAUUGCACAAUGGGGGGAACCCUGAUGCAGCGACGCCGCGUGGAGGAAGAAGGUUUUCGGAUUGUAAACUCCUGUCGUUAGGGACGAUAAUGACGGUACCUAACAAGAAAGCACCGGCUAACUACGUG